CCCGGGCCGGAGCGGCUUCGCCUGCGGCCGGUUCGAACCGGGCCGCGGCGACUUCGCCCGUCACCGGUUCGAGCCCGGACUCCGUGGC
This 88-nucleotide transfer RNA is filed under the name Streptomyces olivaceoviridis. RNAcentral's name for it is "tRNA-Ser". Lineage: Bacteria; Bacillati; Actinomycetota; Actinomycetes; Kitasatosporales; Streptomycetaceae. The record is from RNAcentral.